Molecule: ribosomal RNA, 482 nt
Filed under: Levilactobacillus brevis
Lineage: Bacteria; Bacillati; Bacillota; Bacilli; Lactobacillales; Lactobacillaceae
Description: bacterial SSU rRNA
Rfam family: Bacterial small subunit ribosomal RNA
Source: RNAcentral
GUUGAAUGACGUGCUUGCACUGAUUUCAACAAUGAAGCGAGUGGCGAACUGGUGAGUAACACGUGGGAAAUCUGCCCAGAAGCAGGGGAUAACACUUGGAAACAGGUGCUAAUACCGUAUAACAACAAAAUCCGCAUGGAUUUUGUUUGAAAGGUGGCUUCGGCUAUCACUUCUGGAUGAUCCCGCGGCGUAUUAGUUAGUUGGUGAGGUAAAGGCCCACCAAGACGAUGAUACGUAGCCGACCUGAGAGGGUAAUCGGCCACAUUGGGACUGAGACACGGCCCAAACUCCUACGGGAGGCAGCAGUAGGGAAUCUUCCACAAUGGACGAAAGUCUGAUGGAGCAAUGCCGCGUGAGUGAAGAAGGGUUUCGGCUCGUAAAACUCUGUUGUUAAAGAAGAACACCUUUGAGAGUAACUGUUCAAGGGUUGACGGUAUUUAACCAGAAAGCCACGGCUAACUACGUGCCAGCAGCCGCGGUAA